GACGAACGCUGGCGGCGUGCCUAAUACAUGCAAGUAGAACGCUGAAGGAGGAGCUUGCUUCUCUGGAUGAGUUGCGAACGGGUGAGUAACGCGUAGGUAACCUGCCUGGUAGCGGGGGAUAACUAGUGGAAACGAUAGCUAAUACCGCAUAAGAGUAGAUGUUGCAUGACAUUUGCUUAAAAGGUGCACUUGCAUCACUACCAGAUGGACCUGCGUUGUAUUAGCUAGUUGGUGGGGUAACGGCUCACCAAGGCGACGAUACAUAGCCGACCUGAGAAGGGGAUCGGCCACACUGGGACUGAGACACGGCCCAGACUCCUACGGGAGGCAGCAGUAGGGAAUCUUCGGCAAUGGACGGAAGUCUGACCGAGCAACGCCGCGUGAGUGAAGAAGGUUGUCGGAUCGUAAAGCUCUGUUGUAAGGGAAGAACGAGUGUGAGAGUGGAAAGUUCACACUGUGACGGUAUCUGACCAGAAAGGGACGGCUAACUACGUG
RNAcentral lists this ribosomal RNA (495 nucleotides) under uncultured bacterium. Its description in RNAcentral is "partial 16S ribosomal RNA". It matches the Rfam family "Bacterial small subunit ribosomal RNA", at positions 28 to 507 of the family's 1533-position model. The record is from RNAcentral.